CUCAUUCAUUUUAAUAUAGCAGCAAAUCAGAGAGAAGGAUGAACAAGUUCGCUUGAAGAAGAAGGAUAACAGACGAUUUCCAGGGGCUUAGCAGCGAGGCGACUCGUGAUUGGGCAAAACUAAUCGUAGCAAUGACAUGUGGAGGAGAUCCUUACGUGAAGCUUGAGUUGGAAUGAUAUGGACUAACAUUGCGGGUUAUGACAUUUUCUACAAUGUGGAAGAACUACAAUAAUUAUGGUUUUUUUAGCUUGUGAAACUUUUGGCAUAUUCUCUAGACUUUUUUAUCGUAUUGAACUGUUGGCUAAGAUUGUAGAUACUUUUGUUAUUGGUACUUGUGUUUGGACAUCUAUGUACUUAUGAAUUAUGUUUUAUCACGAUAUUCGGAGUGA
Beta vulgaris subsp. vulgaris (sugar beet) is the source of this 389-nucleotide long non-coding RNA. RefSeq lists it as uncharacterized. Lineage: Eukaryota; Viridiplantae; Streptophyta; Magnoliopsida; Caryophyllales; Amaranthaceae. The record is from RefSeq and is a predicted model, not a curated record. The transcript is spliced from 2 exons.